ACUCCUACGGGGGCAGCAGUGGGGAAUCUUGGACAAUGGGGGGCAAACCCUGAUCCAGCCAUGCCGCGUGAGUGAUGAAGGCCCUAGGGUCGUAAAGCUCUUUCGCCUGUGAAGAUAAUGACUGUAGCAGGUAAAGAACCCCGGCUAACUCCGNGCCAGCAGCCGCGGUAAUACGGAGGGGUUAGCGUUGUUCGGAAUUACUGGGCGUAAAGCGCGCGUAGGCGGACUGGAAAGUUGGGGGUGAAAUCCCGGGGCUCAACCCCGGAACUGCCUCCAAAACUAUCAGUCUAGAGUUCGAGAGAGGUGAGUGGAAUUCCGAGUGUAGAGGUGAAAUUCGUAGAUAUUCGGAGGAACACCAGCUGGCGAAGGCGGCUCACUGGCUCGAUACUGACGCUGAGGUGCGAAAGUGUGGGGAGCAAACAGGAUUAGAUACCCUGGUAGGCUCUGC
Molecule: ribosomal RNA, 448 nt
Filed under: uncultured bacterium
Lineage: Bacteria
Description: bacterial SSU rRNA
Rfam family: Bacterial small subunit ribosomal RNA
Source: RNAcentral